CUCUGAUAACCUGUGUUUCGAUACGAAACGGGCCCUGCCUCAUUAUUUGUCAUCUCCCUGGAGGUGACGGAGGGCUGUUUCAACCUCAGGGGAAAAGUUGCUGUACAGAACACAGGCCAGAGUGUGCCCCAAAGAAAUCAGGCGGUGGAGUGAUUUAAAAGUGAUCAUUUUCUGUAGUCCUAGCUACUCGGGAGGCUGAGGCAGGAAAAUCGCUUGAACCCGGGAGAAGAAGGAUGCAGUGAGCAGAGAUCGUGCCAUUGCACUUCAGCCUGGCGACAGAGCAAGACUCCGUCUCAAAAAGAAAAAAAAAAAGUGAUCAUUUUCAUGACUUGGACUAGGAAGAUCAACUGGGCACGGUGAUUCUUGCACAGAUUUUUAUAAGGAUCCUCCAAGUGUAACAACCAUUUGGAAAACUCCGGGCCUUGAGGACAGCCAGAGAAGAUAAGUUCAACUUGCACUUUGCCAGAGCAGGGGAUCUCCCUCAGCUCCCUGCCUUCAAACCUACCUUACAGACCUGCCUGGCCUGCACCUGAGCCACCCUCUUCUUCCUUCCUAUUCCCACUAAGGAGGUGUCCCUGCUUCCUUCAUAGUGGGUCCUUCCCCUGCACCGGGAAACAGGCCCUAGAGAUGACUCCAUGGGGUGAAGGACCAGAGCCUCCUUGCCUCUCUCUCUGUCUCUCUCUCCCUCUCUUGUCUUCCCAUGAAGCUCUGAUGUUUCCAGUACAAAAUAAACCUCGCUCAGUCCCAGUCCUUCUCCAGUUCCUCCCCUCACAAGCAUGGCCCCCCACUGCUGGCUUUCCUUCCCCACCUUCCACCCUCUCCUUGGCCUUCUCCACUCUGGCUUCAGUGGCCUCCGAUGGCUACACUCAGAGCCUGGGUGCACUGUCCUUUGGAAGCUUCCCUCUGGGGCCGCCUGUCAGCCUCCUCUGAAGACUCACACUCC
This 943-nucleotide long non-coding RNA is filed under the name Homo sapiens (human). Its description in RNAcentral is "ATP6V1B1 antisense RNA 1". The record is from RNAcentral. Lineage: Eukaryota; Metazoa; Chordata; Mammalia; Primates; Hominidae.